Molecule: non-coding RNA, 329 nt
Filed under: Pongo abelii (Sumatran orangutan)
Lineage: Eukaryota; Metazoa; Chordata; Mammalia; Primates; Hominidae
Source: RNAcentral
UUGAGAUGAAGAUCCUGAAUACCAGAGAGGGCCGCUGACAGGUCCAGGAUUACCCUUCUAGCACCUAGCAGAGGGAGGAUUCACCACAUCAUGCUUCCUGACAUCUCUCCCUUUGAAGAGCAGUCAGACUCCUGCUUUGCUCUUCAGACUUUGUUUGGGGGUUUAACAGGUGAGGUUGCUGGGGGAACUCUUUUACAACAUCUCUCUGAAAGAAUCCGGGCUGCCAGUUUCAUUUGGUUUGGGUGUCAGUAGCAUGAUGGAAAGACAAAAAAACACAACUUGACAUCUGCAGAAAUCAAAUUUUACCUGCAACUCACCAAUUCUGUGGC